AUGACAAGCACUUUGAAAAGAGGGUGAAAAGAGCCUGAAACCGUCACGGGGGAAGCGGAUCGCGUUGGAUUGAUGGGUGCUUGCGUGUUCAGCCCUUUGGGUGCAUUGGCGCAAGUUGCUUAUCCGCUGUGAGUUUUCGGGGGUCGAUUUUGGACCCCUGGGGACUGAGGGCUCCCUUUUACAGGUGAGGACAGCGGAGUGACGACGCGAUACGACCCGUCUUGAAACACGGACCAAGGAGUCUAGCGCGGGUGCGAGUCGGAGGGUGCAAGCCCGUGGGCGAAGUGAAAGCGAGUGUAAAAACGAGCAGUUUGGGGCGGCAUAAGAUCGUUGAUCUUAAGACCGACCCAGAGCAGUUGCGCUGGGACCCGAAAGAUGGUGAACUAUGCCGGAGUAGGGCAAAGCCAGAGGAAACUCUGGUGGAGGCUCGUAGCGGUGCUGACGUGCAAAUCGCUCGUCGAACUUGGGUAUAGGGGCGAAAGACUAAUCGAACCAUCUAGUAGCUGGUUCCCUCCGAAGUUUCUCUCAGGAUAGCGGGCCGACAAGUUGUUUUGUGC
Molecule: ribosomal RNA, 557 nt
Filed under: Chondrus crispus (carragheen)
Lineage: Eukaryota; Rhodophyta; Florideophyceae; Gigartinales; Gigartinaceae
Description: eukaryotic LSU rRNA
Rfam family: Eukaryotic large subunit ribosomal RNA
Source: RNAcentral